GUAGGGAAUCUUCCACAAUGGAGGAAACUCUGAUGCAGCGACGCCGCGUGAACGAUGAAGGCCUUCGGGUCGUAAAGUUCUGUCCUAGGGGACGAUAAUGACGGUACCCUAGGAGGAAGCCCCGGCUAACUACGUGCCAGCAGCCGCGGUAAUACGUAGGGGGCAAGCGUUGUCCGGAUUUAUUGGGCGUAAAGGGUGCGUAGGCGGCCUUUUAAGUCAGAUGUGAAAGAUCACGGCUCAACCGUGGUAAGCAUUUGAAACUGGAAGGCUUGAGUUAAGGAGAGGAAAGUGGAAUUCCUAGUGUAGCGGUGAAAUGCGUAGAUAUUAGGAGGAAUACCAGUGGCGAAGGCGACUUUCUGGACUUAUACUGACGCUGAGGCACGAAAGCGUGGGGAGCGAACAGG
Molecule: ribosomal RNA, 404 nt
Filed under: bacterium
Lineage: Bacteria
Description: bacterial SSU rRNA
Rfam family: Bacterial small subunit ribosomal RNA
Source: RNAcentral